GUGCCCUUAGUUCAGUUGGUUAGAAUAUCGGGUUGUGAUUCCGAGGGUCACGGGUUCGAACCCCGUAGGGCACCCCA
This 77-nucleotide transfer RNA is filed under the name sediment metagenome. RNAcentral describes it as "tRNA-His". It matches the Rfam family "tRNA". Rfam says of the family: Transfer RNA (tRNA) molecules are approximately 80 nucleotides in length. Their secondary structure includes four short double-helical elements and three loops (D, anti-codon, and T loops). The record is from RNAcentral.